AGAGUUUGAUCAUGGCUCAGGAUGAACGCUGGCGGCGUGCCUAAUACAUGCAAGUCGAGCGGUAAGGCUUUCACAGAUUAUUUGAACGGAUAAGUCCAUUAAUACGGAUACUGUUUGAAUAUAUUUAUUACUAGGCUAGUAAUAAAUAGUCGAAUAAUGUGUGAAAGUACACGAGCGGCGGACGGCUGAGUAACGCGUAGGAACGUACCCUGAACUGAGGGAUAAUUCGCCGAAAGGCGGACUAAUACCGCAUGUGGUCUAAGGAUUAAAGCUUCGGCGGUUCGGGAGCGGCCUGCGUAUGAUUAGCUUGUUGGUGAGGUAAUGGCUCACCAAGGCGACGAUCAUUAGCUGGUCUGAGAGGAUGAUCAGCCAGACUGGGACUGAGACACGGCCCAGACUCCUACGGGAGGCAGCAGUAGGGAAUUUUCCACAAUGGGCGAAAGCCUGAUGGAGCAACGCCGCGUGCAGGAUGAAGGCCUUCGGGUCGUAAACUGCUUUUAUGAGUGAAGAUUUUAGACAGUAGCUCAAGAAUAAGGGUCGGCUAACUACGUGCCAGCAGCCGCGGUCAUACGUAGGACCCAAGCGUUAUCCGGAAUUACUGGGUGUAAAGAGUUGCGUAGGCGGCUUGUUAAGCAAGGUGUGAAAGCGUUCCGCUCAACGGAAUAAACAUACCUUGAACUGGCAAGCUAGAGAGUGAGAGAGGUUACUGGAAUUCCAAGUGUAGGAGUGAAAUCCGUAGAUAUUUGGAGGAACACCGAUGGCGUAGGCAGGUAACUGGCUCAUUUCUGACGCUCAGGCACGAAAGCGUGGGGAGCAAACGGGAUUAGAUACCCCGGUAGUCCACGCCCUAAACUAUGGAUGCUAGCUGUUAGUCGUAUCGACCCGAUUAGUAGCAAAGCUAACGCGUUAAGCAUCCCACCUGUGGAGUACGGUCGCAAGACUAAAACAUAAAGGAAUUGACGGGGACCCGCACAAGCGGUGGAGCGUGUUGUUUAAUUCGAUGAUAAGCGAAGAACCUUACCCAGGCUUGACAUCCUUGGAAUUUCAUCGAAAGAUGAGAGUGCUUUUAGAGCCAAGUGACAGGUGUUGCAUGGCCGUCGUCAGCUCGUGUCGUGAGAUGUUUGGUUAAGUCCAUCAACGAGCGCAACCCUUAUAACUAGUUGGAUUUCUCUAGUUAGACUGCCCUGGUAACAGGGAGGAAGGGGGGGAUGAUGUCAGGUCAGUAUUACCCUUACGUCUGGGGCUACAAACACGCUACAAUGGCCGGUACAAAGGGAAGCCAACCCGCGAGGGGGAGCAAAUCCCAUCAAAGCCGGUCUCAGUUCGGAUUGCAGGCUGAAACUCGCCUGCAUGAAGCUGGAAUCGCUAGUAACGGUAAGUCAGCACAUUACCGUGAAUACGUUCCCGGGUCUUGUACACACCGCCCGUC
RNAcentral lists this ribosomal RNA (1429 nucleotides) under uncultured bacterium. RNAcentral describes it as "bacterial SSU rRNA". It matches the Rfam family "Bacterial small subunit ribosomal RNA". The record is from RNAcentral.